Molecule: transfer RNA, 73 nt
Organism: Ovis aries (sheep)
Lineage: Eukaryota; Metazoa; Chordata; Mammalia; Artiodactyla; Bovidae
Rfam family: tRNA
About the family: Transfer RNA (tRNA) molecules are approximately 80 nucleotides in length. Their secondary structure includes four short double-helical elements and three loops (D, anti-codon, and T loops). Further hydrogen bonds mediate the characteristic L-shaped molecular structure. tRNAs have two regions of fundamental functional importance: the anti-codon, which is responsible for specific mRNA codon recognition, and the 3' end, to which the tRNAs corresponding amino acid is attached (by aminoacyl-tRNA synthetases). tRNAs cope with the degeneracy of the genetic code in two manners: having more than one tRNA (with a specific anti-codon) for a particular amino acid; and 'wobble' base-pairing, i.e. permitting non-standard base-pairing at the 3rd anti-codon position.
Source: Rfam
UCCCUGGUGGUCCAGUGGUGAAGUCUCAGCACUUCCAAUGCAGGAGGCCCGGGUUCAAUCUCUGGUCAGGGAA